Molecule: ribosomal RNA, 306 nt
Filed under: Triticum aestivum (bread wheat)
Lineage: Eukaryota; Viridiplantae; Streptophyta; Magnoliopsida; Poales; Poaceae
Description: partial small subunit ribosomal RNA
Source: RNAcentral
AUGACCAAAGUACCGAGCCGAACCGAGACCGAACCUAAUGAUGAUGAUGACGCUCAUCAUGCUUCAGAUGAUGAAUGCACUUCUAAGCCUCCAAAUUCUAAAAUCCGAAAUCUAGUCUCAUUUCAAUCUUUGAGCUACACUGAUGCUGCAUUGUCUUCAUCGACCAGUGACCUCCUUUUUGCUAAGCUCAUGGCCCAGUAUUGUAUUUUUGUUUUGCUCUUACAUUUGUUCUCAGUCUUAAAACAAUUGAUUCUUUUGCACGCACCACUUGGUAGCCUGAAAGCAAGGAAAUGGAGGAGCUUCUGA